UAGACAUAUUAUUGUAUUCAACUGUAUUCACGAUAUGUAUUUAUGAAUACAGUAACGUAAAUAGCGCAAUUCAUGAUCUAUUCAGUUGUUUUAAAUGAAAAGUGAAUCAAUUAACAUAAUAGACUCCA
RNAcentral lists this microRNA precursor (128 nucleotides) under Nicotiana sylvestris (wood tobacco). RNAcentral's name for it is "MIR6152 microRNA precursor family". It matches the Rfam family "MIR6152 microRNA precursor family". Lineage: Eukaryota; Viridiplantae; Streptophyta; Magnoliopsida; Solanales; Solanaceae. RNAcentral also lists the same sequence under 1 other name. The record is from Rfam by way of RNAcentral.